AAGUCGUAACAAGGUAACCGUAGGUGAACCUGCGGUUGGAUCAUUAAAAAUUCAACUGUUUAUUAUUUAGAGCCACUUUUAUUAGUCGGAUCUAUCUAAUAGACAUCAACCCACUGUGCACUUGUAUGUUUUUUGGGAUUAUUUCAGUAUAAUCCCAGCAGUAUAACAAACCCAUUUUUUAAUUGACUGAAUUUUUAUUAUUAUAAAUAUUAAAACAACUUUAGACAACGGAUCUCUUGGCUCUC
RNAcentral lists this unclassified non-coding RNA (245 nucleotides) under fungal sp. RNAcentral describes it as "partial contains small subunit ribosomal RNA, internal transcribed spacer 1, and 5.8S ribosomal RNA". The stretch from base 1 to 46 matches the Rfam family "Eukaryotic small subunit ribosomal RNA", at positions 1786 to 1831 of the family's 1831-position model. Lineage: Eukaryota; Fungi. The record is from RNAcentral.